CACACCCACUGCUCCGGAUGAUGAAACCAGCAAACACCAGUUACAUUUGCAUGUGUCAGGGCGCUGCUGCUUUCUAGAUCGCAGCUGCAGCCUCUGGUGGGUGCAGCAUCACCAGAGCAGCGGGAAAACAAGGCUCCCCAACGCUGGCCCUGAUUUCAGGAUAGCGCUGGGGCUGGGCUGGAGCCUGGGCCACAGUGGGGAAAUGGAGCUACGCAAGGGAUAAUCAGGCCUGUUAGCAGGAAUGGAGCUGCUCCCUCCACAGCUGGAGACAAGGGCCUACGGGCCCCGGCUACACCAGAAACAAGACCUGGCACUCCCAGUGGCUUUCAAACACAGCUCCUGGCUGGCCUCCACUGGGGUGAAAUGGCUUGUUUAGUCCCAGCUGAGCUGUGAGGCCUGCUUGCUUCCUGCUGUGCUGAGACUCCAAAAUCCCAGUGGAUCGAAGUUGCAGCCACAGAUUAUGUCCCCAAGGAGAAACGCAUCAAUAUCUCUUGGAAUCGGGGCACUAUGAACGUCA
Molecule: long non-coding RNA, 517 nt
Organism: Chelonoidis abingdonii (Abingdon island giant tortoise)
Lineage: Eukaryota; Metazoa; Chordata; Testudines; Testudinidae
Source: RefSeq, a predicted model, not a curated record